Molecule: ribosomal RNA, 480 nt
Filed under: uncultured bacterium
Lineage: Bacteria
Description: partial 16S ribosomal RNA
Rfam family: Bacterial small subunit ribosomal RNA
Source: RNAcentral
GACGAACGCUGGCGGCGCGCCUAAUACAUGCAAGUCGAACGAGAAGCCGGGAGCUUGCUCCCGGUGGAAGGUGGCGAACGGGUGAGGAAUACGUGAGGAACCUGCCCCGGAGACCGGGAUAACACCGGGAAACCGGUGCUAAUACCGGAUGCCCUCACCGGACCGCAUGAUCCGGUGAGGAAAUGGAUUCCGCUCCAGGAUGGUCUCGCGGCCUAUCAGCUUGUUGGUGGGGUAACGGCUCACCAAGGCUUCGACGGGUAGCUGGUCUGAGAGGAUGUCCAGCCACACUGGGACUGAGACACGGCCCAGACUCCUACGGGAGGCAGCAGUAGGGAAUCUUGCGCAAUGAGCGAAAGCUUGACGCAGCGACGCCGCGUGCGGGAUGAAGGCCCUCGGGUCGUAAACCGCUUUCAGCAGGGACGAAAUUGACGGUACCUGCAGAAGAAGCCCCGGCCAACUACGCGCCAGCAGCCGCGGUAA